UUUCAGUAGGUGAACCUGCGGAAGGAUCAUUAUCGAGUUUUGACUGGGUUGUAGCUGGCCUUCCGAGGCAUGUGCACGCCCUGCUCAUCCACUCUACACCUAUGCACUUACUGUGGGUAUCAGAUCGUGAAGCGUGCUCUUUUACCGGAGCUUGUGAAGCGUGUCUGUGCCUGCGUUUAUCACAAACACUAUAAAGUACCAGAAUGUGUAUUACGAUGUAACGCAUCUAUAUACAACUUUCAGCAACGGAUCUCUUGGCUCUC
RNAcentral lists this unclassified non-coding RNA (263 nucleotides) under plant metagenome. RNAcentral describes it as "partial contains small subunit ribosomal RNA, internal transcribed spacer 1, and 5.8S ribosomal RNA". The record is from RNAcentral.